This 21-nucleotide microRNA is filed under the name Equus caballus (horse). RNAcentral's name for it is "eca-miR-9006". The record is from miRBase by way of RNAcentral. Lineage: Eukaryota; Metazoa; Chordata; Mammalia; Perissodactyla; Equidae.
GGUUGUUGGGUGGACUCAGUU